GAGUUUGAUCAUGGCUCAGAAUCAACGCUGGCGGCGUGCCUCAGACAUGCAAGUCGAACGCGAAAGUCCCCUUCGGGGGGCGAGUAGAGUGGCGCACGGGUGAGUAACACGUAGGUAAUCUACCUUUGGAUUGGGAAUAACCACCGGAAACGGUGGCUAAUACCGAAUAAUGCAGCGGCACCUAAUGGUGACAGUUGUUAAAGCGGGGGAUCGAAAGACCUCGCGUCUGAAGAGGAGCCUGCGGCAGAUUAGCUAGUUGGUAAGGUAACGGCUUACCAAGGCGAUGAUCUGUAGCCGGCCUGAGAGGGCGGUCGGCCACACUGACACUGACAUACGGGUCAGACUCCUACGGGAGGCAGCAGUCGGGAAUUUUGGGCAAUGGGCGAAAGCCUGACCCAGCAACGCCGCGUGAAGGAUGAAAUCCUUCGGGAUGUAAACUUCGCAAGAACGGGAAGAAUAAGUAAGAGUUAAUAUCUCUUACGAUGACGGUACUGUUUGUAAGCUCCGGCUAACUCCGUGCCAGCAGCCGCGGUAAUACGGGGGGAGCAAGCGUUGUUCGGAUUUACUGGGCGUAAAGGGCGCGUAGGCGGCCACCGCAAGUCGACUGUGAAAUCUCCGGGCUUAACCCGGAAAGGUCAGCCGAUACUGCGGGGCUAGAGUGCAGAAGGGGCAACUGGAAUUCUCGGUGUAGCGGUGAAAUGCGUAGAUAUCGAGAGGAACACCUGCGGCGAAGGCGGGUUGCUGGGCUGACACUGACGCUGAGGCGCGAAAGCUAGGGGAGCGAACGGGAUUAGAUACCC
RNAcentral lists this ribosomal RNA (800 nucleotides) under uncultured bacterium. Its description in RNAcentral is "bacterial SSU rRNA". It matches the Rfam family "Bacterial small subunit ribosomal RNA", at positions 9 to 787 of the family's 1533-position model. The record is from RNAcentral.